CGUACGUCCUUUGACUAUGCGAGGGGCGUGGCGAACGGCUCAGUAACACGUAGUUAAUCUACCCUGAAGAUGUGGAUAACCCCGGGAAACUGGGAUUAAUAUGCGAUAAGGGAAAACUUCUGGAAUGGGUUUUCCUUGAAAAGGGUGAGUAGGCAUGUUUACUCAUUUGUUUCAGGAUGGGCCUGCGACCGAUCAGGUUGUUGGUGGGGUAAUGGCCUACCAAGCCUUCUACCGGUCCGGGCUUUGAGAGAAGGASCCUGGAGAUGGACACUGAGAUAAGGGUCCAGGUCCUACGGGGCSCASCAGGCGCAAAAACUUCGCAAUGUGCGAAASCCCGACGAGGCUACUCCGAGUGUCAUCCGCUGAGGAUGACUUUUACUAAGUCCAAAUAGCUUAAAGAAUAAGGGGAGGGCAAGACUGGUGUCASCCGCCGCGGUAA
Molecule: ribosomal RNA, 439 nt
Filed under: uncultured crenarchaeote
Lineage: Archaea; Thermoproteati; Thermoproteota
Description: bacterial SSU rRNA
Rfam family: Archaeal small subunit ribosomal RNA
Source: RNAcentral